Molecule: ribosomal RNA, 869 nt
Filed under: Bacillus subtilis
Lineage: Bacteria; Bacillati; Bacillota; Bacilli; Caryophanales; Bacillaceae
Description: bacterial SSU rRNA
Rfam family: Bacterial small subunit ribosomal RNA
Source: RNAcentral
UCCCUGAUGUUAGCGGCGGACGGGUGAGUAACACGUGGGUAACCUGCCUGUAAGACUGGGAUAACUCCGGGAAACCGGGGCUAAUACCGGAUGCUUGUUUGAACCGCAUGGUUCAAACAUAAAAGGUGGCUUCGGCUACCACUUACAGAUGGACCCGCGGCGCAUUAGCUAGUUGGUGAGGUAACGGCUCACCAAGGCAACGAUGCGUAGCCGACCUGAGAGGGUGAUCGGCCACACUGGGACUGAGACACGGCCCAGACUCCUACGGGAGGCAGCAGUAGGGAAUCUUCCGCAAUGGACGAAAGUCUGACGGAGCAACGCCGCGUGAGUGAUGAAGGUUUUCGGAUCGUAAAGCUCUGUUGUUAGGGAAGAACAAGUACCGUUCGAAUAGGGCGGUACCUUGACGGUACCUAACCAGAAAGCCACGGCUAACUACGUGCCAGCAGCCGCGGUAAUACGUAGGUGGCAAGCGUUGUCCGGAAUUAUUGGGCGUAAAGGGCUCGCAGGCGGUUCCUUAAGUCUGAUGUGAAAGCCCCCGGCUCAACCGGGGAGGGUCAUUGGAAACUGGGGAACUUGAGUGCAGAAGAGGAGAGUGGAAUUCCACGUGUAGCGGUGAAAUGCGUAGAGAUGUGGAGGAACACCAGUGGCGAAGGCGACUCUCUGGUCUGUAACUGACGCUGAGGAGCGAAAGCGUGGGGAGCGAACAGGAUUAGAUACCCUGGUAGUCCACGCCGUAAACGAUGAGUGCUAAGUGUUAGGGGUUUCCGCCCCUUAGUGCUGCAGCUAACGCAUUAAGCACUCCGCCUGGGGAGUACGGUCGCAAGACUGAAACUCAAAGGAAUUGACGGGGGCCCGCACAAGCGGUGGAG